UAGUAACGGCGAGUGAAGCGGGAAGAGCUCAAGCUUAAAAUCUCCGUGCAAGUUUUGCGCGGCGAAUUGUAGUCUAUAGAGGCGUGGUCAGCGUGGGCGCUUGGGGCAAGUUCCUUGGAAGAGGACAGCAUGGAGGGUGAUACUCCCGUUCAUCCCUGAGUGGCUCGUGCGUACGACCCGUUUUCUUUGAGUCGCGUUGUUUGGGAAUGCAGCGCAAAGUAGGUGGUAAAUUCCAUCUAAAGCUAAAUAUUGGUGCGAGACCGAUAGCGAACAAGUACCGUGAGGGAAAGAUGAAAAGAACUUUGAAAAGAGAGUUAAAGAGUACCUGAAACUGCUGAAAGGGAACCGAAUCGUUUCCAGUGUCUAUAAUCUGUGGCAUAUUUCAUUGGCGAGCGUUUGCGUGCGUGUGCUGUGGCAGUGGCUUUUUUUGGCUGCGCCCGGUGUGUGUGCUGUGAGUGUUUGCUGGUGCCCUGUGCUGCGGUGGGACGUCAAGGUCAGUUCGUAUGCUGCGGGAAAUGGCUGCCGAGGAGGUAGGGCUUACGCUCCGCGUUUGUCUGUUAUAUCUUGGUGGACGAGUCGUCGCGGUUGGGACUGAGGUGCCUACAACGUGCUUUUGAGUGGGUUUGUGUCUCCGUGUGCGCCGUGUGCGGAUAGCUUGCUAUGCGUGUGUGGUUGUGUGUGGAUGGAUGCGGGCCUUAACUUGUCGCCGUUC
Molecule: ribosomal RNA, 712 nt
Filed under: Phytophthora citricola
Lineage: Eukaryota; Oomycota; Peronosporomycetes; Peronosporales; Peronosporaceae
Description: eukaryotic LSU rRNA
Rfam family: Eukaryotic large subunit ribosomal RNA
Source: RNAcentral